This is a non-coding RNA of Chelonoidis abingdonii (Abingdon island giant tortoise), 98 nucleotides long. The record is from RefSeq and is a predicted model, not a curated record. NCBI's taxonomy places the organism in Eukaryota, Metazoa, Chordata, Testudines, Testudinidae.
CCCAGGGAAAGAGUGGAGCAGGUGUGACGUUAUGAGUCUAAUCUAAUAUCUCAUUGAAAGGUGACAGGGCCAGAAAGAGUUAAUUACCUCACAGACUG